AAGUCGAGGGGUAACGGGGAAGCUUGCUUCCGCCGACGACCGGCGCACGGGUGCGUAACGCGUAUACAAUCUACCUUAUACUGGGGUAUAGCCUUUAGAAAUGAAGAUUAACCCCCCAUAGUCUCUUAGAGUGGCAUCACUUCUAGAGUAAAGGUUACGGUAUAAGAUGAGUAUGCGUUCUAUUAGUUUGUUGGUGUGGUAACGGCACACCAAGACUACGAUAGAUAGGGGCCCUGAGAGGGGGAUCCCCCACACUGGUACUGAGACACGGACCAGACUCCUACGGGAGGCAGCAGUGAGGAAUAUUGGACAAUGGAGGCAACUCUGAUCCAGCCAUGCCGCGUGCAGGAAGACUGCCCUAUGGGUUGUAAACUGCUUUUAUACAGGAAGAAACACCUCUACGUGUAGAGGCUUGACGGUACUGUAAGAAUAGGGAUCGGCUAACUCCGUGCCAGCAGCCGCGGUAAUACGGAGGAUCCAAGCGUUAUCCGGAAUCAUUGGGGUUUAAAGGGUCCGUAGGUGAAUAAUUAAAGUUCAGAGGUGAAAUCUUGCAACU
Molecule: ribosomal RNA, 556 nt
Filed under: uncultured bacterium
Lineage: Bacteria
Description: bacterial SSU rRNA
Rfam family: Bacterial small subunit ribosomal RNA
Source: RNAcentral